Molecule: ribosomal RNA, 497 nt
Filed under: uncultured bacterium
Lineage: Bacteria
Description: partial 16S ribosomal RNA
Rfam family: Bacterial small subunit ribosomal RNA
Source: RNAcentral
GACGAACGCUGGCGGCGUGCUUAACACAUGCCAGUCGAGCGAACAGACGAUGAGCUUGCUCCUCGGACGUUAGCGGCAGACGGGUGAGUAACACGUGGAUAAUCUCCCUAUAAUACUGGGAUCACUACGGGAAACUGGCGCUAAUACCGUAGAAUAUAUUGCACCGCAUGGUUCAAUAGUAAAAGACGGUUUUGCUGUCACUUCUAGAUGCUUCCCCGCCGCAUUGGCUAGUUGGUAAGUUAACAGCUUAGCAAGGCAACGAGGCGUAGCCGAAUUGCGAGAGGGGUCGGCGACACUGGAAGGGAGACGGGGUCCAGACGCCUGAGGUAGGGAGCAGUAGAGAAUCUUACGCAAUGGGGGAGAGCCUGACAGAGCAACGCGGAGUGAGUUGUGAAGGUGUUGGGAGCGUAAAACUCUGUUAUUGGGGGAGAACAAAUGUGUAAGUAAAUGUGCAGGUAUUGACGGUACCUAAUCAGAAAGCCCCGGCUAACUACGUG